AAUCAACGCUGGCGGCGUGCCUAACACAUGCAAGUCGAGCGAGAAAGGGGUAGCAAUAUCCCGAGUACAGCGGCGCACGGGUGAGUAACACGUGGGUAAUCUGCCCUAGAGUGGGGAAUAACACCGGGAAACCGGUGCUAAUACCGCAUACGAUCACGAUGUCUGCGGAUGUUGUGAUGAAAGGAGCAAUUCGCUCUAGGAGGACGCCCGCGGCUGAUUAGCUAGUUGGUGAGGUAAUGGCUCACCAAGGCUACGAUCAGUAUCCGGUCUGAGAGGACGGUCGGACACACUGGAACUGAGACACGGUCCAGACUCCUACGGGAGGCAGCA
Molecule: ribosomal RNA, 330 nt
Filed under: uncultured bacterium
Lineage: Bacteria
Description: bacterial SSU rRNA
Rfam family: Bacterial small subunit ribosomal RNA
Source: RNAcentral